CCUACGGGAGGCAGCAGUGGGGAAUCUUGCGCAAUGGGCGAAAGCCUGACGCAGCCAUGCCGCGUGAAUGAUGAAGGUCUUAGGAUUGUAAAAUUCUUUCACCGGGGACGAUAAUGACGGUACCCGGAGAAGAAGCCCCGGCUAACUUCGUGCCAGCAGCCGCGGUAAUACGAAGGGGGCUAGCGUUGCUCGGAAUUACUGGGCGUAAAGGGAGCGUAGGCGGAUAGUUUAGUCAGAGGUGAAAGCCCAGGGCUCAACCUUGGAAUUGCCUUUGAUACUGGCUAUCUUGAGUACGGAAGAGGUAUGUGGAACUCCGAGUGUAGAGGUGAAAUUCGUAGAUAUUCGGAAGAACACCAGUGGCGAAGGCGACAUACUGGUCCGUUACUGACGCUGAGGCUCGAAAGCGUGGGGAGCAAACAGGAUUAGAUACCCUGGUAGUCCACGCUGUAAACGAUGAGUGCUAGUUGUCGGCAUGCAUGCAUGUCGGUGACGCAGCUAACGCAUUAAGCACUCCGCCUGGGGAGUCGGUCGCAAGAUUAAAACUUAAGGAAUUGACGG
RNAcentral lists this ribosomal RNA (558 nucleotides) under uncultured bacterium. RNAcentral describes it as "bacterial SSU rRNA". It matches the Rfam family "Bacterial small subunit ribosomal RNA", at positions 338 to 916 of the family's 1533-position model. The record is from RNAcentral.